CUCAGCGUUUGGGCCUUAAGGAGACAGGCCUGCCCCUCUUCUGCCUGACCUUCUGCUGUCUACGUUCUGCAGGAUCUGUGUCAGGGCACAUGGAGCAGAACAAACAAAAAUGCAGACAGAGGGCCAAGCAACUCUGUACAUUAAAUGGAUCUUCACAAGAUACCAGACUGUAUACUGUCAAAAUGGUGAUCAAUUCCAACCACCAUAUUUAUUUGAAAACCAGCUUUUCCCAUAAGAAAGGUGUUCAAAUCACACUGGAAAUUCAAGAUACUUCAUUGUCUAUAUAACAAUACUUCUGAUUUUUCUUGUUUGUUGGAUCCCUGUUGUUUCUUCUUCUGUUGUAGUUCUUUUAAAUCUAUGGUGAACAGUUCUGUUUUGCAAUUUUUCAGUGCUAUGCCGCUCAUCUUCUGAUUUUCACAUGGGGAAAUUCAAUAGUUAAUCCUGGAAAUAGCAUGUGCACAAUUUGCUUUUGACAUGAAUUUCUAUUCUGUUCUUUUUUCAUUUACAUUAGGUUUUUCAUUUCCAGUUAAGCCAUGCAUGUGGCUGGCCAUGCACAUGAAAACAAUGAGCAAGCUUUUGUUUUGAUUUUUCAGCAUGCAGUUGUGUACAUGACUGCAUUGACAUUCCUUUUUGAUAAUGGAAAGAUCCCAAAUAGUUUCCUGCAUAUUAACUGCAGGCCCAGUGUGUACUGUUCCUCAUUUAUUUAAAGGUGCAGAGACCUUUUUUAAAAAAAUUAAAAAAUACAGAAAUA
Rhineura floridana is the source of this 751-nucleotide long non-coding RNA. RefSeq lists it as uncharacterized. The transcript is spliced from 2 exons. The record is from RefSeq and is a predicted model, not a curated record. Lineage: Eukaryota; Metazoa; Chordata; Lepidosauria; Squamata; Rhineuridae.